Molecule: ribosomal RNA, 253 nt
Filed under: uncultured bacterium
Lineage: Bacteria
Description: partial 16S ribosomal RNA
Rfam family: Bacterial small subunit ribosomal RNA
Source: RNAcentral
UACGUAGGGGGCAAGCGUUGUCCGGAAUCAUUGGGCGUAAAGAGCGCGUAGGCGGUCCGGUAAGUCCGCUCUGAAAGUCCGGGGCUCAACCCCGGGAGGCGGGCGGAUACUGUCGGGCUAGAGUCCGGAAGAGGCGAGUGGAAUUCCUGGUGUAGCGGUGAAAUGCGCAGAUAUCAGGAGGAACACCGAUGGCGAAGGCAGCUCGCUGAGACGGUACUGACGCUGAGGCGCGAAAGCGUGGGGAGCAAACAGG